UACGUAGGGGGCUAGCGUUGCUCGGAAUUACUGGGCGUAAAGCGCACGUAGGCGGAUUGUUAAGUCGGGGGUGAAAUCCUGGAGCUCAACUCCAGAACUGCCUUCGAUACUGGCGAUCUAGAGUCCGGGAGAGGUGAGUGGAACUGCGAGUGUAGAGGUGAAAUUCGUAGAUAUUCGCAAGAACACCAGUGGCGAAGGCGGCUCACUGGCCCGGUACUGACGCUGAGGUGCGAAAGCGUGGGGAGCAAACAGG
RNAcentral lists this ribosomal RNA (253 nucleotides) under uncultured bacterium. RNAcentral describes it as "partial 16S ribosomal RNA". It matches the Rfam family "Bacterial small subunit ribosomal RNA", at positions 524 to 776 of the family's 1533-position model. The record is from RNAcentral.